Molecule: long non-coding RNA, 4501 nt
Filed under: Nicotiana tabacum (common tobacco)
Lineage: Eukaryota; Viridiplantae; Streptophyta; Magnoliopsida; Solanales; Solanaceae
Description: long non-coding RNA (NTAB_LNC001748)
Source: RNAcentral
GCUUGACCAAAACAACCCCGUUUGCAGCAUCUCAAUCUGAGUCAUUUGAUCUCAUUAAAUCCAACAGUUGGGAACUGGUUUGCUCGACAGUAUAAAACUGGCCGAAUGUUGACCCCCCUCCCCAACUCAUAUCUCUCAUUCCCUCACCAUCAGAGACCCUUCAUGGAACCCUAGCGCUGCCCCCAAAUCCUCCACCCUCUCCGGUGGCGGCGCCGCCUCUAAACCGUCCCAAAUCCACACCAUAUAACCCCCAACCCUUCUUCUUCCUAAAUCCUGGAACAUUUGCCCUCGAAUCACCCUAGGAUUCUUCGAAUCUUGAAUCAAAGUGUCGAACCCUAAAUUCCCAAAACCUCCAAAUCGAGAUUUCAGUGAAGGAUUAGGGUCUAGGUUGAUUUUAUUCAUGUGUUCUUAAUAAGAACACACGAUUAAUGUCAAACUCAGCCGAAAUUCAAAGAUUUGAAGAUUUUUCAAUUUCUACUGUCCAAGCCAUCUUUUAGGUAUUUUUCAUUGUUUUCUGUUCUUCACUUGUCAUUGUUAGUUCUCCUCCUAUCUUCUUCUUCUUCUUUCUUAUUAUUUUUUAAUUUUCUAGUUCUUCAAGUUACCUUGUAUGCAUGUUAAUUUUAGGUCUUUUUCUUUAAUUAGUGCGCUUUGUUUGUUGUGCGAAUGUGUUCAAAUGUAGUUCUGUUUCUAUUUUCUCUUUAGGACCAAGAUUUCACGAGUCCUUAGGACUCUGUAAGUGAAAAUUUGAGGGUUUUGAGCUUUUAAUUUUGAAUUGAGGCUCUGUUAGAGCAGAAGCCCAAGGAAAAGGGGUUCAAUCCGAUUUGUCUAGCCCAGUUUUAGAGUUUGAACCUUGGGUCAAUUUGACCCAUUUGGUUUCUGAAGUAAAUACAAGGGGUUUAAGGGUUAGUUUAGGAAAUUUAGGCUAGAGAAUCUAUUAUAACUGAUUGGGGAAACUUCUAGGAAGGUGGGUUUGGGGCUUUCUGAAAAGCUGAUUUUUAAACCAAGGACAUAAGAGCAAAAAUGAAAAUUUGAAAAGGGUAAAAGGGCAAUAAAUUAACUCAUUUCUGUUGCCCUAAGGCUUGCCUAUAAAAGCAUUGUUUCUUCACACACAAGGGAGAUUUUUUAGAAAUUCAGAGACUGAAAAUACUAAAAAAAAAAACUCUAGGAACAACUAAGCUUUUUCUAGACUCAAAAAUACUGAAAUUAGUUGAAGAAUUGGUUGGUUUUUGCUCCUCAAGUUCCUUGUUAGUCAAAUUUUUCGAAAGCUUUAAAAGUUGUAUUGAUUCUGGGUUCGAAGCUGUUUUAAAAGGCUGAGUAGUUGCUGAUUGCUUGGUUGCUUUUGUUGCUGAUACUCUGCUGCUGACCUCUUCUUAAUCUUGAGCUCAUUUCACUGAACUCCAUUGACAUAUUGAAUUGAAAGGGUUGAGGCUGUUUGAUUGAGCUGAAAAUCAAUGAUGUUUUGUUCAUUAGAUUUUUUUUCUGCAUUACAUUGGUUAUGUAAUUAACUAGUUAUCCUCAUGUGUAUGUUUGUUCUUGUCUAUUAUAGUUUUAAGUUCUGUUUAUAGUGUUGGACAAAUGCUUUCUUUUAUUUGUUUAGUUUAAAUGAGUUGAAGUUUCUGAUCAUAUGUGUGGAUGGUAGAGAAUCAGUGCAGUAGAAAUUUCAGCAGAAUUAAGCAUGUUUCAGAUCUGUUUUAGCCUACCGAAAUUAGUGUUAUGUGAAUUUGUUUAAGUUGAUAUUCAUAGGUUUGAAACCAGAAAUUUUCAAUUGGGGUUUAUCUCAGUGUUGUAUUCUGCUAUUUGGAAACCAUGUAGUACUUUACUUCAUGAAAUUAUUAAUUGAAUGGCUUCCAAGUUAGUAGUUAGCUUAUAGUCAUUUUGGAUAAGAAAAAUGGUCUGGUUGAUUACUUUAAGGGUCUAGCCCUGUGCAGAAUUGCUCCUGGUUAAUUUAUAAGCACGUUUAAGCUUAAAUUCUGAUUUAUUUACUUAACAAGCUUAUGAGUUUUUUGAUUUGCUAUUAUAUGUAUUGAAAAGAGGUUUAAUUAGAUUUGAAAUCUCGCACAAUUGUCUUUUUGAAUUAGCUGAGGAUUGAUUUAAAUAUGAUUCCUAUACAGUCGUGCAUUAUGGAAAAUCAAUCACUCGAUCUCGAGUCCUAUUUUUACCUUGCAUCAUCUUAAGAGAUUUUGUUUUGCCUUGGGGUCAGGAUUCUGAGGAGCUUGCAUUUACAGCCCUUUUGGGCCUGCGAUUCGAGCCCAUUUGCUUAUCCUCAACUUUGAUACGGGUGCUCAAAAUAGCGAUUGGGCCUGCUGUUAGUUUAGGCCCUUCCAAUAAUUGAAUGCUUGUUAUUUUAAUAUCAGCAUUUUAAAUGAACAAGUUUGGAUUGAACCAUUCGCUCGAAAUAAGAGUUCAAAUUCCAUUAGUGUUUAAUUAAUUAGAUUCCAUUAAAUAGAUUUGAGGUAUUCCAUAUUAAGUAAGAUCUAAUUUAUGUCCCUCAAAAGCUUAGUUUGAGUUUCCUUUAAAACCGGAAUCGAGGUGUGCCAUUUAGUUGAAUUUUCCAUGGCCCUCGCAAACUUGAAAGUGCGUAGUCGCUUUAGGCGCGUAAUUUAAAUUAACUUCCUUAAACUCGGGUGUGCAUUUCAUGUGACCCAAAUCCAAAUCUCAACAACGUUAAAUAAAAUGUGUCAGGGACCGCGGGUGCAUUUCAUGUAGCGUGGCUCAAGACGUGUUUUAGAUAACGUUGAAUCUUCCUAAAAUCAAUUAAAAGCGGCUAAUAAGUUAAAAAAGUACCAUAGGCUAAAACUUGUAUUAAAAUCGGAUAAUAGGCCAAUUUUAAUAGUUUAAGCGACCGUGCUAGAACCACGGAACCCGGGAAUGCCUAACAUCUUCUCCCGGGUUAACAGAAUUCCUUACUUAGAAUUUCUGGUUCGCAGACUUCAAAAGGAAAGUCGAUUUUCCUCGAUUUGGGAUUUUAAAAUAAACCGGUGACUUGGGACACCAAUUAAAAUAUUCCAAAUGACGACUCUGAAGAAUUAAAGUAAAUAAUCUCAUUUCGAUUAAUAUCACUUUAAUUGGAAAAACUCUCCAUAUACCCCCUCGGGUGGUAAAAAAGGAGGUGUGACAUCAGUCGUGUAUUUUCGUAUUCCAUAGUUAUUGUUGCUUUCGUUUUGGUUUUCUAAUUGCAUUACUUAGUGUUAGUUUAUAUUUUCGCUCCAGUUUUCCGAUUGGCUUGCUUGUUGUUGCCUUUUCCAUUUAUCUUUCUUAAGUCGAGGUCUAUCUACUUAGAUGUAGAGAUAAUGUAUGCAUACACACUACCCUCCCAGACUCUACUUGUGGGAUUAUACUGGGUUUGUUGCUGUGUGUUAUAUUAACAAUCAGAUUCAUAUUUUGAUAACUAUAAUGCCUAAAUCAAUAACUCUGGUAACAACACUGAUGAUCUGUUUCAGUUUCUUUCAGGGAAAAAGAAAGGUGUGGACUAGGCUUUUGAUGCCUAGCCACAUGUUACUAUACAUAGACAAGAAAAAUGUACUACCAAAGAUCCGAGUAAAAGUUGAUAUCAUCAUACCCAUAAACGUACAAAAUUGUUGAGAGCAUUGCACAUAAUUACCCAAGAACCAGUUCUACCACAUAACAAAAGGACCUAAAUUUCUAUCAUGAUUUUCUUCCUUUUUGUUAUGCACCAAAAAUCACAAAAGAAUCCUACUUUGGUCACCAAAUAUAGCAUUCUUUAUAACAAAUUAUUCCCACUCGAUUGUUGAUGGAGGCUUUGAUGUAAUAUCUAGAAGAACUCGAUUUACACCACGAACACUAUUGCAGAUCUUUCUUGAUACGUCGUCAAGAAACUUGAAAUCAAAGUAGUACCUAUAAAGAAAUUACAAUUUCAAAUAAAGAAACAGAUUUAGCACAGCUUAUAAAUAUAACAGCAUACAGAGGGGGGGUAUUCUAUUGACUCUUUCACAAGCAGAGAAGUUCCAAGAACAAUACACAAAGGUUUUCAUUGUUGGACUGUAGAAGAUGGAAUUGCUUCGACGGUUUGUUAAGUCUUGUCUUUUUAUUUCGCCAAUUACUACUAUUUCAGAUAUGUCAUGGUAUAGGAUUAUUUGGACUAUAAGCAGUGUUUGAUUGGUACGUAUUAAUCAAUACAUGAUUGAUUGAUAUGAGAAUAUCGGCAAACAAGAUUUGUCUAAGCCACUUUUUUUUUCUUUUUGCCCAAGUCACUAAUGUAGAUUUUUACUUAUUCUGCGAUGUAGGACAAACGGAGCUCUACUUGUUUUCUAACUAAAGGCAAACAGCCGGCAUGACAAGCAAAGAGAAAGGACAAGUGUUUGAAACACAUCAUACAUCCUUGAUAUCCAUUAAAGUGCAAAACCGAAACAGCAAAAACUUGUAGGUCAAUGAUGUCUAAGCGUAAAACUUGUACUUAUAAUUAAACAACAUGGAAAAUAUGAGCAUAGAAAAAUGGGCAGUAACUAGCAAAUUAUAGAAAACCAAAAAUAUGUGGGAACGA